GCCAAAACGAGUACAACUUGUAACUUUGGUACAACUAGUGCAUUUUGGCGGCUACACAUGUGUCUUUUGGCGGCUACACGUGUCUAAUGUGGAUCACGUGUUUGUUGUGUUUGGUCCUUUUUUAUUUUUAUUUUUAUUUUUAUUUUUUAUUUUUAUUCUUCCGAUUUUUUUAAAAAAAUUCAAUUUUCAAAUUGAAAUUGAAAGAGGGAAUUGGG
This 215-nucleotide long non-coding RNA is filed under the name Capsella rubella. RNAcentral's name for it is "long non-coding RNA (CRUB_LNC000557)". Lineage: Eukaryota; Viridiplantae; Streptophyta; Magnoliopsida; Brassicales; Brassicaceae. The record is from RNAcentral.